Molecule: ribosomal RNA, 482 nt
Filed under: uncultured bacterium
Lineage: Bacteria
Description: partial 16S ribosomal RNA
Rfam family: Bacterial small subunit ribosomal RNA
Source: RNAcentral
AUUGAACGCUGGCGGCAUGCCUUACACAUGCAGGUCGAACGGUAACAGGUCUUCGGAUGCUGACGAGUGGCGAACGGGUGAGUAAUACAUCGGAACGUGCCCGAUCGUGGGGGAUAACGAGGCGAAAGCUUUGCUAAUACCGCAUACGAUCUACGGAUGAAAGCGGGGGAUCUUCGGACCUCGCGCGGACGGAGCGGCCGAUGGCAGAUUAGGUAGUUGGUGGGAUAAAAGCUUACCAAGCCGACGAUCUGUAGCUGGUCUGAGAGGAUGAUCAGCCACACUGGGACUGAGACACGGCCCAGACUCCUACGGGAGGCAGCAGUGGGGAAUUUUGGACAAUGGGCGAAAGCCUGAUCCAGCCAUGCCGCGUGCAGGAUGAAGGCCUUCGGGUUGUAAACUGCUUUUGUACGGAACGAAAAGCCUCUUUCUAAUAAAGAGGGGUCAUGACGGUACCGGAAGAAUAAGCACCGGCUAACUACGUG